Molecule: ribosomal RNA, 483 nt
Filed under: uncultured archaeon
Lineage: Archaea
Description: bacterial SSU rRNA
Rfam family: Archaeal small subunit ribosomal RNA
Source: RNAcentral
GAUUUCCGUUAAGGAGAUCUUUUGGCACCUCUAAAAAUGGUGCAGAAUAAGGGGUGGGCAUGUCUGGUGUCAGCCGCCGCGGUAAUACCAGCACCCCGAGUGGUCGGGACGUUUAUUGGGCCUAAAGCAUCCGUAGCCGGUUCUACAAGUCUUCCGUUAAAUCCACCUGCUUAACAGAUGGGCUGCGGAAGAUACUAUAGAGCUAGGAGGCGGGAGAGGCAAGCGGUACUCGAUGGGUAGGGGUAAAAUCCGUUGAUCCAUUGAAGACCACCAGUGGCGAAGGCGGCUUGCCAGAACGCGCUCGACGGUGAGGGAUGAAAGCUGGGGGAGCAAACCGGAUUAGAUACCCGGGUAGUCCCAGCUGUAAACGAUGCAAACUCGGUGAUGAGUUGGCUUAUUGCUAACUCAGUGCCGCAGGGAAGCCGUUAAGUUUGCCGCCUGGGGAGUACGGUCGCAAGACUGAAACUUAAAGGAAUUGGCGGG